UACGUAGGGGGCAAGCGUUGUCCGGAUUUAUUGGGCGUAAAGAGCGUGUAGGCGGCCAGGUAGGUGGGUUGUGAAAACUGGAGGCUCAACCUUCAGACGUCGACCCAAACCCCCUGGCUAGAGUCCGGAAGAGGAGAGUGGAAUUCCUGGUGUAGCGGUGAAAUGCGCAGAUAUCAGGAAGAACACCCGUGGCGAAAGCGGCUCUCUGGACCGGUACUGACGCUGAGACGCGAAAGCGUGGGGAGCGAACAGG
RNAcentral lists this ribosomal RNA (253 nucleotides) under uncultured bacterium. RNAcentral describes it as "partial 16S ribosomal RNA". It matches the Rfam family "Bacterial small subunit ribosomal RNA", at positions 524 to 776 of the family's 1533-position model. The record is from RNAcentral.